GGUUGACCUCGGAUCAGGU
This 19-nucleotide ribosomal RNA is filed under the name Aureobasidium melanogenum. RNAcentral's name for it is "partial 28S ribosomal RNA". RNAcentral also lists the same sequence under 7 other names. Lineage: Eukaryota; Fungi; Ascomycota; Dothideomycetes; Dothideales; Saccotheciaceae. The record is from RNAcentral.